AUAACCUAGGUAUCUUGUUAAAAUGUAGAUUCUGGGUCAGUAGAUCUGAAGUGGGGCCUGAGAUUCUGCAUCUCUAACAAGCUCCCAGGUGAGGC
RNAcentral lists this microRNA precursor (95 nucleotides) under Dasypus novemcinctus (nine-banded armadillo). RNAcentral's name for it is "miRNA (ENSDNOG00000032716.1)". Lineage: Eukaryota; Metazoa; Chordata; Mammalia; Cingulata; Dasypodidae. The record is from RNAcentral.